Molecule: long non-coding RNA, 180 nt
Organism: Photinus pyralis (common eastern firefly)
Lineage: Eukaryota; Metazoa; Arthropoda; Insecta; Coleoptera; Lampyridae
Exons: 3
Source: RefSeq, a predicted model, not a curated record
GGAAUCUGGAAACAAGAAAAUAAAUAUAAUCAGCGAUAUAAUCAUUACGCCAUCCCACUUAGAUCGCCAUAACCUGGAAAGAAAACAAGUCAGCAAUUUAGAGUCCACUUCUGCAUCGCCUGAAAAUAAAAAUUCGCUUACGCAAGAUACCCAAUUUUCACAUUUAGUUCCCGCUCCGAG